AGCGCCCGUAACUCAAUUGGAUAGAGUUUUUGACUACGAAUCAAACUGUUGGAGGUUCAAAUCCUCUCGGGCGUUUC
RNAcentral lists this transfer RNA (77 nucleotides) under Candidatus Portiera aleyrodidarum (primary endosymbiont of Bemisia tabaci). RNAcentral's name for it is "tRNA-Arg(acg)". It matches the Rfam family "tRNA". Rfam says of the family: Transfer RNA (tRNA) molecules are approximately 80 nucleotides in length. The record is from RNAcentral. Lineage: Bacteria; Pseudomonadati; Pseudomonadota; Gammaproteobacteria; Johnevansiales (SeqCode); Johnevansiaceae (SeqCode).